This 497-nucleotide ribosomal RNA is filed under the name uncultured bacterium. RNAcentral describes it as "partial 16S ribosomal RNA". It matches the Rfam family "Bacterial small subunit ribosomal RNA", at positions 28 to 507 of the family's 1533-position model. The record is from RNAcentral.
GAUGAACGCUGGCGGCGUGCCUAAUACAUGCAAGUCGAGCGAACAGACGAGGAGCUUGCUCCUCUGACGUUAGCGGCGGAAGGGUGAGUAACACGUGGAUAACCUACCUAUAAGACUGGGAUAAAUUCGGGAAACCGGCGCUAAUACCGGAUAAUAUAUUGAACCGCAUGGUUCAAUAGUGAAUGACGGUUUUGCUGUCACUUAUAGAUGGAUCCGCGCCGCAUUAGCUAGUUGGUAAGGUAACGGCUCACCAAGGCAACGAUGCGUAGCCGACCUGAGAGGGUGAUCGGCCACACUGGAACGGAGACACGGUCCAGACUCCUACGGGAGGCAGCAGUAGAGUAUCUUCCGCAAUGGGCGAAAGCCUGACGUAGCAACGCCGCGUGAGUGAGGAAGGUCUUCGGAUCUUAAAACUCUGUUAUUUGGGAAGAACAAAUGUGUAAGUAACUAUGCACGUCUUGACGGUACCUAAGCAGAAAGCCACGGCUAACUACGUG